GCAGUGGAGGUUCAGUGGUAGAAUUCCCACCUUCUGUGUGGGAGACCAGGAUUCAAUUUCUGGCUAAUGCA
Molecule: transfer RNA, 71 nt
Filed under: Loxodonta africana (African savanna elephant)
Lineage: Eukaryota; Metazoa; Chordata; Mammalia; Proboscidea; Elephantidae
Rfam family: tRNA
About the family: Transfer RNA (tRNA) molecules are approximately 80 nucleotides in length. Their secondary structure includes four short double-helical elements and three loops (D, anti-codon, and T loops).
Source: Rfam by way of RNAcentral